UCUCCACCAGCAACCAGGACCUCAACGGAUUCUCCGCCUCUUCUCCAUGCUCCUUCUCCAUCCCGGGUAAAGCCCUCCAGAGUAAAACCCUCCUCAACUCCUACUACUCAGUUUCUAAGGAGCCGGUCCCUGCCACAGCAUCCAUAGGUA
This is a long non-coding RNA of Carassius auratus (goldfish), 150 nucleotides long. RefSeq lists it as uncharacterized. Lineage: Eukaryota; Metazoa; Chordata; Actinopteri; Cypriniformes; Cyprinidae. The record is from RefSeq and is a predicted model, not a curated record. The transcript has 3 exons.